Molecule: ribosomal RNA, 253 nt
Filed under: uncultured bacterium
Lineage: Bacteria
Description: partial 16S ribosomal RNA
Rfam family: Bacterial small subunit ribosomal RNA
Source: RNAcentral
UACGAAGGAUGCAAGCGUUAUCCGGAUUCAUUGGGUUUAAAGGGAGCGUAGGUGGCCAAAUAAGUCAGUGGUGAAAUCUCUGGGCUUAACCCAGAAAUUGCCAUUGAUACUGUAUGGCUUGAGUGUAGUUGCCGUUGGCGGAAUAUGACAUGUAGUGGUGAAAUACAUAGAGAUGUCAUAGAACACCGAUUGCGAAGGCAGCUGACGAAACUAUAACUGACACUGAGGCUCGAAAGUGCGGGGAUCAAACAGG